Molecule: long non-coding RNA, 508 nt
Organism: Monopterus albus (swamp eel)
Lineage: Eukaryota; Metazoa; Chordata; Actinopteri; Synbranchiformes; Synbranchidae
Exons: 3
Source: RefSeq, a predicted model, not a curated record
CUGAUGUGAGAGGUGCUCCGGAACUGUCAUUGCCUUCUGCCUCGCUCAGUGCCACAAUAGUGAUAGCACGUAUUAGCUCUUUAGCAUGGUUCAGAGACUGUGAUUUAAGAAGCUGUAGUAUUGACCUCAUGAAAAAAUCUUUAAUGCGAUGUGUUUUGUUUUUCAGGCAGUCCCACUGGCAGAUCAUUUUGAUGCAGUGUGCGACAUCAACCCUGACAAAACAAGAGGGCAGUUUUGCAGACCAUUUCCCAAGGACACUUGAGCUAUUAUGCCCUGUCAGAACGCCCUGAUACAGGAAGAUGUGCCCAGAUGAGCCAUUUGGUCUCACCAGUUUCCUGACUACGGAGCCUGUUGCAUCAAAACACACUGUCUGGGUGGCCAAAUUGGGUAGAUGGCUUGGCUCAGGAUCUCCAAAGUCCAUCAGCUUUGUUGCCUGUGAUGCCCGCCAUACAUGGGCUUCCUUUCUGCCCUCACACAGUUCUUCGGCUACUUGCAAACGUAGCUGACC